RNAcentral lists this long non-coding RNA (460 nucleotides) under Mytilus galloprovincialis (Mediterranean mussel). The record is from RNAcentral. Lineage: Eukaryota; Metazoa; Mollusca; Bivalvia; Mytilida; Mytilidae.
GAGGUUGAACCCUGAAUGGUUGGAGCAAGUAUGGACACAACAUUAAAGCUGGAUUCAGCUCUAAAUUUGGAUUGUGAUUAAAUAGUUGACACAGCAUAGGUUUCUGACACAGAAUGAAUGUGGUCUAAUGAACUUAAAAAUAUUUUUUUGCCUUGAGCAAUUCACUAUGCUGUUGAAAAUUAAUCCUCUCAAAAAAAUGUUUGAAGAAAUUUUCUUUUUAUUUAUGAAAUCUGAAAUGAGAAAAAUUUAACCCCAAUUUUUUUUUCACAUCCCCCUUUCCCUUUUUCCAAAACUGAUCUCAAUUCAAAUUUCUAAUGGAGUUUGCAACAAUAACUACUCAUUUAAACAUCAUAAAAUAUUAAAAUGUAAAAUAAAGUGCUUGUUAUCACUGAAUGGUAAAGAUUGUUUUAAUUUAUCAGUUGGUAGUAAAAGUGAAUAUACAUUGUAUAUUGUAUAAAAC